GUGAAUAUGAACUUUACUGUCAGAUGAACAUUGAAAGUGAAGAUUUUCCUUGGUCAAGAGUGCAACCGGCCACAUGCAUGAGCUGCUGUGGAUAUGAACUUUACUGUCAGAGCAAAAUUGGAAGUGAACAACAUUUCUGCAGAGAGAUUUUCCUUGGUCAAGAGUGCAACC
Molecule: long non-coding RNA, 171 nt
Organism: Dendronephthya gigantea
Lineage: Eukaryota; Metazoa; Cnidaria; Anthozoa; Malacalcyonacea; Nephtheidae
Exons: 3
Source: RefSeq, a predicted model, not a curated record